This is a long non-coding RNA of Bufo gargarizans (Asiatic toad), 711 nucleotides long. RefSeq lists it as uncharacterized. The record is from RefSeq and is a predicted model, not a curated record. Lineage: Eukaryota; Metazoa; Chordata; Amphibia; Anura; Bufonidae. The transcript has 3 exons.
GGGGGCGUGGUCACCAAGCCAGGCAGAAAGGUGGGACGUGAGGGAGGAAGGUGGCGGGCCGCGUGUCUGAGAGGCUGAACACCCAAUACUAUGGCUUAAAGCAACUAGACUCAGGCAGGAAGCGACAGGGAACAUCAUUUAUCGUGACGUUUUGGGGCUGUCAGAAUCUUUCAGCCUUUUUUGCUCAAAAAAAUACCCAAUGUACUCUCCCUGUAUAAUGAGAGAAAUAAUGCGUCCGAACGAAUGCGGCUUCUUCAGAGAACAUUCUGGACAAAGAAGAAUGGUUUACGAGGAUCGAUCGAUGCUUUGACUAAAUGAAAUACAGCCAAGUUAUUAGGCAGUUUUAUCAUGAUGCCAUAUCCAGACCACGAUGAAUAUCAUUCCAUUUGCUGCAGGAUCUACGGCUGUGCUUACAUAAAAAUCUAUACGGCGUACAAAGAGUAAAGCUUCUAUUUCACUGCUGGAUGACGUCCGUCACACGGGCCCUGAAAUGUUCAGAACUAACAGCUAUUCCAUAAAAAUACGCUGGAAGCCAUAACAUCUGUGACAGAAUGGCAUUAAUAAUUCUCUGCACUUCUAUUGUUUGCAUGCCCCCUGAGUCUUCAUGACUCACUUGAAGGGGUUUCCAAAGAGUUACAGUAUGUAUACAUGGAAAUAAUUCAUAUUGUAAGAAAAGUUGUGCAUUGGAAGUAAAAGACAAAAUCAUUAUGU